Molecule: transfer RNA, 69 nt
Filed under: Ilyocoris cimicoides
Lineage: Eukaryota; Metazoa; Arthropoda; Insecta; Hemiptera; Naucoridae
Description: tRNA-Met
Source: RNAcentral
AGUAAGGUAAGCUAAACAAGCUAUUAGGUUCAUACCCUAAACAUAGAAGUAAUAAUCUUCUCCUUUCUA